This is a long non-coding RNA of Balaenoptera ricei (Rice's whale), 491 nucleotides long. RefSeq lists it as uncharacterized. The transcript has 3 exons. The record is from RefSeq and is a predicted model, not a curated record. NCBI's taxonomy places the organism in Eukaryota, Metazoa, Chordata, Mammalia, Artiodactyla, Balaenopteridae.
AGAGGAUCUGAGGGGCUGACACCCCCAACCCCCAAAGGGAGAGAUCAUCAUCAUCGGUGGUGCUUCAAUGCUAUAGCACACAAGGGGUCUGUCUCGAAAACCUGGGUCCAUGAUGCCAUGAAGUCAGGGUUCCACUCCUAAGCCCUGUCUUCGAGGAGGGACUUCAGCUCCCUCCCACUCAAGCCACAAAGGAAAGGUUACCCCAGAGGAUACUAUAGCGAAUCGGACAGGAGGCUGGAGACCGGAAGCCAGGCUGAUGUCCAGGGGACAUGGGUUUGAGCCCUGGUCCAGGAAGAUCCCGCAUGCCGCAGAGCAACUAAGCCCGCGAGCCACAACUACUGAGCCCACGCACCACAGCUACUGAAGCCUGCGCGCCUAGAACCCUCAACAAGAGAAGCCACCGCCAUGAGAAGCCUGCGCAUCGCAACAAAGAGUAGUCCUGCUCGCCGCAGCUAGAGAAAGCCCGUGCGCAGCAACGAAGACCCAACACA